CCUACGGGGGGCAGCAGUGGGGAAUAUUGGACAAUGGGGGGAACCCUGAUCCAGCCAUGCCGCGUGUGUGAAGAAGGCCCUCGGGUUGUAAAGCACUUUCAGUGAGGAAGAACGCCUGGUGGUGAAUACCCAUCAGGAAAGACAUCACUCACAGAAGAAGCACCGGCUAACUCCGUGCCAGCAGCCGCGGUAAUACGGAGGGUGCGAGCGUUAAUCGGAAUUACUGGGCGUAAAGCGCGCGUAGGUGGCUUGAUAAGCCGGUUGUGAAAGCCCCGGGCUCAACCUGGGAACGGCAUCCGGAACUGUCAAGCUAGAGUGCAGGAGAGGAAGGUAGAAUUCCCGGUGUAGCGGUGAAAUGCGUAGAGAUCGGGAGGAAUACCAGUGGCGAAGGCGGCCUUCUGGACUGACACUGACACUGAGGUGCGAAAGCGUGGGUAGCAAACAGGAUUAGAUACCCUAGUAGUC
This 465-nucleotide ribosomal RNA is filed under the name Vreelandella stevensii. RNAcentral's name for it is "partial 16S ribosomal RNA". It matches the Rfam family "Bacterial small subunit ribosomal RNA", at positions 338 to 795 of the family's 1533-position model. Lineage: Bacteria; Pseudomonadati; Pseudomonadota; Gammaproteobacteria; Oceanospirillales; Halomonadaceae. The record is from RNAcentral.